GGAGAUUUGACUUUGUGCUCACAGUGUGGACUUGCCUGCUGGAGCUGGGCCCUGCAGCACCCUGGUAUGCUGAGCUGGCAGCAUCCGGACCRAAACUGCCCAGACUGCAAAUCUCUCAGCUCAGCCCCUGCCACCAGCCAGGAUGACUGUUUUAAGGCCUGAAGGCACUGCUAGAGCCAUCCCUGAGUCUCUGGCCUCCACAUUUCUGCCAAGAAAGCUGCCAUGUYAGAGCCAGGAGCUGCUGCCUCUCACUGGAGCAGUGACCAGCUGAAGAGUGGAGCAGCUCCAUGCACUGGAGCACUGCUCUGAAGGAGAGGAGCUCCGAGGCCUUGCCAAGUGUCAAACACGGAGAAGUCAUCUCAUGGUGACCAGGCYACACAGCAGUUUCGAUGUAUGGGCUUUCCCACUAAGUCCUUCCUACAGGCAAUCCAAGUGCAGUUGUUCACACACGAAGAGUUGUGCAGAGGACCUUCAGCCUGCCCUUYGUUUAAAGUCUGUCUCACUUGAAGCUCCUGGCUGCAGCCCAGCAAAGAAAGUGUUACCUGCCGGAGGCUGCUGUGCACCGCCCGAGAACAACAGGCUCAUGUACUUCAGGUGUGAAGCCAAGGUGUCAUGUGGGAGCUGCGUUCCUGUGGGGAAGGAGAAAUUGCUGUCUAACUGAUCCUUUGUGGACUUCCUACCAAAACCAUCCAGUGCAACAUAUGAUCUUUUCUCAGUUGCCCCUGCAGCAGCCCUGACGGGCAGGUGUUGCGUUAUCUGCUAGACAGGAGGAGGAGGAGGCCRUAGCCAUCCCUCGCAAGACUGUAUGGGCUGCUGAGCACCAAGGGAACAAGCCCCGGAGCCAGGUAAAUUGGCUGUGUCCCAGUAGUGCUCCUUAUGCC
This 881-nucleotide long non-coding RNA is filed under the name Dromaius novaehollandiae (emu). Its description in RNAcentral is "lncRNA (ENSDNVG00000016037.1)". The record is from RNAcentral. Lineage: Eukaryota; Metazoa; Chordata; Aves; Casuariiformes; Dromaiidae.